GUGGGGAAUAUUGGGCAAUGGGCGGAAGCCUGACCCAGCGACGCCGCGUGGGGGAAGAAGUCUUUCGGGAUGUAAACCCUUGUUGUACGGGACGAAGGAAGUGACGGUACCGUACGAGGAAGCCCCGGCAAACUACGUGCCAGCAGCCGCGGUAAUACGUAGGGGGCGAGCGUUGUCCGGAAUCACUGGGCGUAAAGCGCACGUAGGCGGGCUGUCAAGUCGGCCGUGAAAGGCACGGGCUCAACCUGUGCAUGUCGGUCGAUACUGGCGGUCUGGAGUAUGGGAGAGGGAACUGGACUUCCCGGUGUAGCGGUGAAAUGCGUAGAUAUCGGGAGGAACACCAGUGGCGAAGGCGGGUUCCUGGCCCAUGACUGACGCUGAGGUGCGAAAGCCGGGGGAGCGAACGGGAUUAGAAACCCGAGUAGUCC
This 428-nucleotide ribosomal RNA is filed under the name uncultured bacterium. RNAcentral's name for it is "partial 16S ribosomal RNA". It matches the Rfam family "Bacterial small subunit ribosomal RNA", at positions 354 to 796 of the family's 1533-position model. The record is from RNAcentral.